GACCCAGUGGCGCAAUGAAUAACCCGUUGGACUUCUAAUUCAAAGAUCGUGGGUUCGAUUCCCACCUGGGAUGGCCU
Molecule: non-coding RNA, 77 nt
Organism: Trichonephila clavata
Lineage: Eukaryota; Metazoa; Arthropoda; Arachnida; Araneae; Nephilidae
Source: the annotation of a GenBank genome assembly